UGAAUGGAGGAGACCAAAUCAACUUUUCAAAUCCGAAACCCACUUUUCUCUCUACAGCCAUCCACAGAAGCACCAAAUCGAGAGCCUUCGAUCGACAUCCUUCCAAACCCUAACCCUAAUCCUAGAAUCCGUCUCAACAGCGUCCUCCAUCGGCUGUCAAGAUGCCGGCGACGGCGGGAAGGGUGCGCAUGCCGGCGAACAACCGGGUCCACAGCAGCGCCGCCCUCCAGACACACGGGAUCUGGCAGAGCGCCAUCGGAUAUGAUCCCUACGCCCCCACCAACAAGGACGAGGACGCCUCCAAGGGCGGACACGCCGGCAAGCCUGGCGACGACGGUGCCGAGAACGCCUACGCCAGCUUCCAGGGCCUUCUCGCCCUCGCCCGCAUCACAGGCUCCAAUUCCGACGAGACCCGCGGCGCCUGUAAGAAGUGCGGCCGUGUCGGCCACCUUACGUUCCAGUGCCGCAACUUCCUCAGCGUCAAGGAAGACAAGGACAAGGAUGCCACCGCUGACGCCGCUGCCCUCCAGACCGCCUCGGCCGUCUUCGAGAAGAUCAAGAAGGCUGCCGGGAAGAAGGAAGAGGAGGAGAGCGACGAGGAGGAGGACGAAGAAGAGGAGAGUGAGAGUUCGGAUUCUGACAUGGAUCCGGAAAUUGAAAAGAUCAUUGCUGAGAGAUUCGGGAAAAAGAAGUCUUCCUCCAAGAAGAGAUCGCCGGUGGAGGGUUCAGGGGAGGAGAAGAAGGGGAGUCGGAGGAGGAGAGGAAGGUCCAAGAAGAGGAGCGGGAAGAGGUCGAGCCGGAGCGAUGGGACUGAUAGCGAGGAGGAACCUAGGAGGAGGGAGAAGAGGAGGAGGAGGAGGCAUGGGGGUUCGGAUGAUGAUGUGGAAGAGGAGGAUGGGAGCCGUAGGCACAGGAAGAGUCGGAAGGAGAAGAAGAGGCGGAGGAGCCAUCAUAAGAGGGAUGAGUCUGAUGAGUCAUCGGAAGAUUCUGGUAGGCGUCGCCGACAUAAGCGACGGCAUGGGAGGAAGGAUGUGUCUGAGAGUGACUGGGAUGGUAGUGAUGAUUCAUUGGAUGAUCGGAAGAGGUCCGGCAGGCACCACGAGCGCUGGAGGAAGAGGAGGUCCACUUCCUCUGAAAGUAGUGCAUCGGAUGAUGAAGACUAUCGUGGAAGAAAGGGGAAAAUGCAUUCUCAGGACAGGAGCAGGAACCAUAGGCGUGAAGAGAGGAACUGAAGAAGGGAAUGGUUAUAUGGAUAACGUUGGAGAAUCAUGCUAGAAUGGAUCCAUGUGUUGCUCAACAUCCAUCAUUUAAGGCGCGUAUACUGCCUGCUUUUGUAGUUUCGUGGUACGUUAGUGAUGUUGGUUCUCGAAACACCGAAUGAUAGCUUGAAGGUGACUCAGACAUGCGGCCUUCAAGCUAUGCAAACGGAAGGACAAACAGCAUGUUUGGUCGGUCGGCAACUCGAAGCUUUGAUUGCUGGAUUCAAUUCGGGUGGCAACUUAGCGUGGCAAACCUUUAUAUCGCAAGAGUGACGCUGUCCAACUUGUCUGGCCGAACCCUUUUGGGUGGGUUAACAUGCCUACUAAUUAGUGUGGGACCAGGUCUAUAUUGUGUUUGGUGGAGUGCUGGUGCUGGUUCAUCUUGGUGGUCGUAUAUUUGUCGAGUACCUUUUGAAGUGAAUUCAGAUGGAGGCAACCUUUUUUU
RNA transcript from Elaeis guineensis (African oil palm), 1704 nucleotides. RefSeq lists it as uncharacterized. Lineage: Eukaryota; Viridiplantae; Streptophyta; Magnoliopsida; Arecales; Arecaceae. The record is from RefSeq and is a predicted model, not a curated record.